RNAcentral lists this ribosomal RNA (442 nucleotides) under uncultured bacterium. Its description in RNAcentral is "bacterial SSU rRNA". It matches the Rfam family "Bacterial small subunit ribosomal RNA", at positions 338 to 795 of the family's 1533-position model. The record is from RNAcentral.
CCUANGGGAGGCAGCAGUGGGGAAUAUUGCGCAAUGGGCGAAAGCCUGACGCAGCGACGCCGCGUGUGGGAUGAAGGUCUUCGGAUCGUAAACCACUGUCGGGAGGGACGAAGUUCUGACGGUACCUCCAAAGGAAGCACCGGCUAACUCUGUGCCAGCAGCCGCGGUAAUACAGAGGGUGCAAGCGUUGUCCGGAAUUACUGGGCGUAAAGGGCGCGUAGGCGGCCCGAUAAGUAGGAGGUGAAAUUCUGCGGCUCAACCGCAGGACUGCCUUCUAAACUGUCAGGCUUGAGCACGGUAGAGGCUGGCGGAAUUCCCGGUGUAGCGGUGGAAUGCGUAGAGAUCGGGAAGAACAUCCGUGGCGAAGGCGGCCAGCUGGGCCGUUGCUGACGCUGAGGCGCGACAGCGUGGGGAGCAAACAGGAUUAGAUACCCGGNUANUC